This 253-nucleotide ribosomal RNA is filed under the name uncultured bacterium. Its description in RNAcentral is "partial 16S ribosomal RNA". It matches the Rfam family "Bacterial small subunit ribosomal RNA", at positions 524 to 776 of the family's 1533-position model. The record is from RNAcentral.
UACGUAGGGGGCUAGCGUUGUCCGGAAUCAUUGGGCGUAAAGCGCGUGUAGGCGGUCCGGUAAGUCGGCUGUGAAAGUCCAGGGCUCAACCCUGGGAUGCCGGUCGAUACCGCCGGACUAGAGUUCGGAAGAGGCGAGUGGAAUUCCCGGUGUAGCGGUGAAAUGCGCAGAUAUCGGGAGGAACACCAAUGGCGAAGGCAGCUCGCUGGGACGUUACUGACGCUGAGACGCGAAAGCGUGGGGAGCAAACAGG